AACCAAAUUAUAUAUAUUUAAUUUCUCACUUAUGGUUACUACUCUGUAUUAAGUUAUUAUGGUUUACAAAUGUUUCAAACCUUAGCUUAGCAGAUGCUUCCAUUGUAAAAUAUCCUAUGAGUUUCAAUUAUUUGAGACUCUAGACAGGACUAUAAAGUUUAAAACGUUAAACUCUUUGUCUGAAAAGUAUUAUCAAGUAUUAACUUAUCAACCAUA
Biomphalaria pfeifferi is the source of this 216-nucleotide non-coding RNA. The record is from the annotation of a GenBank genome assembly. Lineage: Eukaryota; Metazoa; Mollusca; Gastropoda; Planorbidae.